UGUUGUCUCCGCCUCCACCGGUUUACUUGCCACCACCGCCUCCACCACCAGUUUAUUCACCUCCUCCACCAGUUUAUUCGCCACCACCGCCACCACCUCCACCACCACCGGUUUAUUCACCUCCUCCACCAAUUUAUUCACCACCGCCGCCGCCACCUCCACCACCACCGGUUUAUUCACCUCCUCCACCACCUCCACCACCAGCACCGGUUUAUUCACCUCCACCGGUUUUCUCACCACCGCCACCAUCACCACCUCCUCCAGUUGUGUCACCACCACCACCAACUCCAUUGCCAACACCACCUUAUUGUGUACGCUCACCGCCACCUCCACCACCAAAUUCUCCACCUCCCCCGCCACCGCUUACUUACUCGCCUCCACCCCCUCCCCCUUCGCCCUACUAUUAUAAUUCACCACCACCACCACCUCCACCAAACUCACCACCACCUCCCCCACAAAACUCACCACCACCACCCGUUUACAUAUACUCAUCACCACCGCCCCCACCAGUAUACUCUUCACCUCCACCCCCUCAUUCACCUCCUCCUCCGUCCCCGGUUCCUUGUAUAGAACCCCCACCCCCACCACCUCCUUGUAUAGAACCACCUCCACCACCACCUUCUCCAUCCCCUCCACCACCAGUUUAUUACUAUAAUUCGCCACCCCCACCAUCACCUCCGCUACCAGCACUACCCCCACCAUCGCCAUCACCUCCACCGCCAGUUUAUUAUUAUAAUUCACCACCCCCGCCGUCUCCUUCACUCCCUCCUCCUGUCUACUAUCAUUCACCACCCCCACCCCCAUCACCAUCACCACCACCGCCAACUCCAGUAUAUGAAGGGCCAUUACCACCAAUUAUAGGAGUUUCAUAUGCUUCUCCUCCUCCACCCCCCCUCUAUUGAUUCUUUAAGAAAAUUUCUCUCUAACUCAUCCUCAAAACACAAAAUUAUACCUACAGUAGAUUGAAGUUGUGGAGAAUAAAUUUGCAAAGAAAAGAUUGCAGCUUUGCAGGGAAAUUGUAUUGUAUAGAGAUGAUCAUAAUCUGGACUAGAAAAGCCAGUUUACAGUGCUUGUUGUAACUGGUUUCCUCCUCUUUUUUUUUUGGUGAGUUUUAUUGUUAUUAUUCAGCUUCUUUAUUUUUCUUUUAACCUUUUUAAUGAAUCAUACUUUGCUUCCUUUGUCUUUAUUUUGGUCUUCCAUUAUAAUAAUAGGAGUAAUAGUAUAGUGAUGAGCAUUUUUUAUUUGUAUUGAUUCUCAGAAUUCAGAUCAUAUUUUUCUAUUUCUU
RNAcentral lists this long non-coding RNA (1285 nucleotides) under Nicotiana benthamiana. RNAcentral's name for it is "long non-coding RNA (NBEN_LNC037851)". The record is from RNAcentral. Lineage: Eukaryota; Viridiplantae; Streptophyta; Magnoliopsida; Solanales; Solanaceae.